GGUCUGUGUGUUAGCUGGGAGGAGUGACGUGCAGUCACUUCCUCCCAGCUCUGUGAUGUAAUCACAGGGGGCCCAGUCGCGCUGUUAAAGCGCCCAGCGCUGACCGGGCCCCUCCACAUCCAUCGGGUGGCCGUGACAGCAUGGGCCACCCGAUGGACCCCUCCAUAUGCGGCCGCCGGCUCGCACCCGCCCGCUCACCCAAUCUCUCAAAAUUAGAAAAUCCCUACCGCCCACCUGGAAUCCUGAAACGCCCACUAGUGGGCGGUAGGGACCAGGUUGAUGAUCCAUGAUUUACAAUGUAGAGUCUGAGCAGGACUGGGGACAGCGUGGCACUGAGCAAUGACAGCUUGGCCAUUCUACAGAAAC
Non-coding RNA from Pelobates cultripes (western spadefoot toad), 366 nucleotides. The record is from the annotation of a GenBank genome assembly. Lineage: Eukaryota; Metazoa; Chordata; Amphibia; Anura; Pelobatidae.